AGAAUCUACACAGCAAUCCUAGGAAUAUCAUUCUCUCCAGACUCACUUCUUUGCAUGGCUCUCCUCUUUUCUACAGUCUGUAUUCACAUCCAAAUAGCUACAAUUAUCUAGAGAAUCCAAGAGAACUUUGAAUUUCCUAGGAAAUUGAAGAAAGACGUAUAAAGCUAACAGUUUUGAACAUGUUCUUAGUGCUACAUGGAGCAAGACUCACAACAACCUCAAGAGCUAAGCUGACUCAUCUCUGAAUGAAGUAACAAAUAUUCACCUCAAGAGGAGCGAAAUAGGCUUGAGUGGAGGGACAGUAGAUCAUACUUCAAUCUCCUGCCUUAAUAUUUCUGGGGGUUUAGGAAUGGCGUUUAAAGAGGAACUCAUGGACUCCCUUGAUUCUUUCAUGGAGAAAAUACCCUAAAUAGCCAAAGUAAUGUUGAAAAAGAAAACCAAUCUGGUGGCAUCGCAAUAGCCUCUAAGCUCUAUUACAAAGCUGCAGUCAUCAAGACAAUAUGGUACUAGCACAAAAACAGACACAUAGAUUAAUGGAACAGAAUAGAGAGCCCAGAAAUGGACCCUCAACUCUAUGGUCAACUAAUCUUCAACAAAUCAGGAAAGAAUAUCCAAUAGAAAAAAGACAGUCUCUUCAACAAAUGGUGUUGGGAAAAUUGGACAGCCACACGCAGAAGAAUGAAACUGGACCAUUUCCUUACACCACACACAAAAAUAGACUCCAAAUGGUUGAAAGACCUUAAUGUGAGACAGGAGUCCAUCAAAAUCCUAAAGGAGAACACAGGCAGCAACCUCUAUGACCUCAGCUGCAGCAACUUCUUGCUAGAUCCAUCUCCAAAGGCAAGGGAAACAACGGCAAAAAUGAACUAUUGGGACUUCAUCAAGAUAAAAAGCUUUUGCACAGCAAAGAACACAGUCAACAAAACCAAAAGACAACUGACAGAAUGGGAGAAGAUAUUUGCAAAUGACAUAUCAGAUAAAGGGCUAGUAUCCAAAAUCUAUAAAGAACUCAUGAAACUCAACACCCAAAGAACACAUAAUCCAAUCAAGAAAUGGGCAGAAGACAUGAACAGACAUUUCUGCAAAGAAGACAUCCAAAUGGACAACAGACACAUGAAAAACUGCUCAACAUCACUCGGCAUCAGGGAAAUCCAAAUCAAAACCACAAUGAGAUACCACCUCACACUAUGACAGAUGUUGACAGGAUGUGAAGAAAGGGGAACACUUCAACACUGUUGGUGGGAAUGCAAGCUGGUGCAGCCACUCUGGAAAACAGUAUAGAGGUUCUUCAAAAAGUUGAAAAUAGAGAUACCCUAUGACCCAGCAGUUGCACUACUGGGUAUUUACCCCAAAGAUACAAAUGUAGUGAUCCAAAGGGGCACGUGCACCCCAAUGUUUAUAGCAGCAAUGUCUACAAUAGCCAAACUGUGGAAAGAGCCUAGAUGUCCAUCAACAGAUGAAUGGAUAAAGAAUAAGUGGUAUAUAUAUAUAAUGGAAUAUUACACAGCCAUCAAAAAAAAUGAAAUCUUGCCAUUGCAAUGACAUGGAUGGAAUUAGAGGGUAUUAUGCUAAGUGAAAUAAGUCAAUCAGAGAAAGACAAUUAUCAUAUGAUCUCACUGACAUGAGGAAUUUGAGAAACAAGGCAGAGGAUCAUAGGGGAAGAGAGAAAAAAAUGAAACAAGAAGAAACAAGAGGGAGACAAACCAUAAGAGAAUCUUAAUCUUAGGAAACAAAUUGAGGGUUGCUGGAGGGGAGGGAGGUGGGGGAUGGGGU
Mirounga angustirostris (Northern elephant seal) is the source of this 1773-nucleotide long non-coding RNA. RefSeq lists it as uncharacterized. The record is from RefSeq and is a predicted model, not a curated record. Lineage: Eukaryota; Metazoa; Chordata; Mammalia; Carnivora; Phocidae. The transcript has 4 exons.